RNAcentral lists this ribosomal RNA (253 nucleotides) under uncultured bacterium. RNAcentral describes it as "partial 16S ribosomal RNA". It matches the Rfam family "Bacterial small subunit ribosomal RNA", at positions 524 to 776 of the family's 1533-position model. The record is from RNAcentral.
GACAGAGGGUGCAAACGUUGCUCGGAAUUACUGGGCGUAAAGCGCACGUAGUCGGCUUUGCAAGUCGGGUGUGAAAUCCCCGGGCUCAACCUGGGAACUGCAUCCGAGACUGCAUUGCUAGAGUAUGGGAGAGGGAAGCGGAAUUUCUGGUGUAGCAGUGAAAUGCGUAGAUAUCAGAAGGAACAUCAGUGGCGAAGGCGGCUUCCUGGACCAAUACUGACGAUCAGGUGCGAAAGCGUGGGGAGCGAACAGG